CAGUCGCCGCGGGAAUACGUAGGUGGCAAGCGUUGUCCGGAAUUAUUGGGCGUAAGGGGCUCGCAGGCGGUUUCUUAAGUCUGAUGUGAAAGCCCCCGGCUCAACCGGGGAGGGUCAUUGGAAACUGGGAAACUUGAGUGCAGAAGAGGAGAGUGGAAUUCCACGUGUAGCGGUGAAAUGCGUAGAGAUGUGGAGGAACACCAGUGGCGAAGGCGACUCUCUGGUCUGUAACUGACGCUGAGGAGCGAAAGCGUGGGGAGCGAACAGGAUUAGAUACCCCCGUAGUCCCUGUCUCUUAUAC
RNAcentral lists this ribosomal RNA (301 nucleotides) under uncultured bacterium. Its description in RNAcentral is "partial 16S ribosomal RNA". It matches the Rfam family "Bacterial small subunit ribosomal RNA", at positions 509 to 807 of the family's 1533-position model. The record is from RNAcentral.